RNAcentral lists this ribosomal RNA (244 nucleotides) under Proteus mirabilis. RNAcentral describes it as "partial 23S ribosomal RNA". It matches the Rfam family "Bacterial large subunit ribosomal RNA", at positions 525 to 771 of the family's 2925-position model. Lineage: Bacteria; Pseudomonadati; Pseudomonadota; Gammaproteobacteria; Enterobacterales; Morganellaceae. The record is from RNAcentral.
CCCGGCGAGGGGAGUGAAAAAGAACCUGAAACCGUGUACGUACAAGCAGUAGGAGCCUCUUUAUGGGGUGACUGCGUACCUUUUGUAUAAUGGGUCAGCGACUUAUAUUCUGUAGCGAGGUUAACCGCAUAGGGGAGCCGUAGGGAAACCGAGUCUUAACUGGGCGAAUGAGUUGCAGGGUAUAGACCCGAAACCCGGUGAUCUAUCCAUGGGCAGGUUGAAGGUUGGGUAACACUAACUGGAG